RNAcentral lists this ribosomal RNA (253 nucleotides) under uncultured bacterium. RNAcentral describes it as "partial 16S ribosomal RNA". It matches the Rfam family "Bacterial small subunit ribosomal RNA", at positions 524 to 776 of the family's 1533-position model. The record is from RNAcentral.
UACGUAGGGUGCAAGCGUUGUCCGGAAUUAUUGGGCGUAAAGAGCUCGUAGGCGGUCUGUCGCGUCUGGUGUGAAAAUCCAGGGCUUAACCCUGGACCUGCAUCGGGUACGGGCAGACUAGAGUGCGGUAGGGGAGAUCGGAAUUCCUGGUGUAGCGGUGAAAUGCGCAGAUAUCAGGAGGAACACCGGUGGCGAAGGCGGGUCUCUGGGCCGAAACUGACGCUGAGGAGCGAAAGCGUGGGGAGCAAACAGG